UACGGGGGGGGCAAGCGUUGUUCGGAAUUACUGGGCGUAAAGGGCUCGUAGGCGGCCAACUAAGUCGGAUGUGAAAUCCCCAAGCUUAACUUGGGAACUGCAUCCGAUACUGGAUGGCUUGAAUCCGGGAGAGGGAUGCAGAAUUCCAGGUGUAGCGGUGAAAUGCGUAGAUAUCUGGAGGAAUACCGGUGGCGAAGGCGGCAUCCUGGACCGGCAUUGACGCUGAGGAGCGAAAGCUUGGGGAGCAAACGGG
Molecule: ribosomal RNA, 253 nt
Filed under: uncultured bacterium
Lineage: Bacteria
Description: partial 16S ribosomal RNA
Rfam family: Bacterial small subunit ribosomal RNA
Source: RNAcentral